Non-coding RNA from Zonotrichia albicollis (white-throated sparrow), 9380 nucleotides. The record is from RefSeq and is a predicted model, not a curated record. Lineage: Eukaryota; Metazoa; Chordata; Aves; Passeriformes; Passerellidae.
CGAACGGGCUGAGGCUGUGCCUGCAGCCACGGGUUUCUUUGUGCGUCUGUCUGUCAGCACUUUGGGUGACAUUCCCUUCGCCGCGCGGGUGGCUGGCGAUUUUUCUCUUUUUUACUGCUGGAAGAGGUUAUUCUAUGCAAGAGAAAAAGCAGAAAAGCCUUUGUAAUUUUCACAGAGGUUUUGUGGAAUAUAGUGCCGAAAAAGCAAUUUGGGUUUUUGUUUGGUUUUUGUUUUGUAAUUGCAGAGUUUUUUUAGCAUUCGGGUGGAUGCUGGAUGCUCUUUCUUUAGUACAGAUUUAUGUCCUAAAGAGAUACUUGAUUUCUUUGACCAUAUCUGUGAUCAUAGCUUACAACUACUACCUAUACACACCUGUCUAUUUCUGCUGCAGCUUCCUGUCCUUGACCCAGCGAUACAUUGUGAAGUUCUCCUGAGUCAAUGAAUCCUGGUAAAAUGCAGUAAAGGAUUUAAGGUUAUCGUCUGUCUCUCUCUAACUUCUGACAUCUCUUUAUAACAAGAAAGAGUCACAGCCAACUGUAACAGGAGGGCAACACAAUGAAUCCUGAAGAGGCCAUACAGACCUUGUCAUCUGGAGAUGAGGGAGUCACAGCCUUCCAGGGAUCUUCUGCCAAUGUUUCACCACCUUCAUGCCUCUUGUGAAGCAUUUCCAGACAGCUGGAGAUCCCCCUGCCCUCUUGGCCUGAAGAACCACAGUGCCCUCAGCCUCUCCUUCACUUGUUUCCUGCUAUAGCCUCCACUGGAGUGGGUUAAUGUCUUUCUUGUACUGUAGGAGAUGCAGUAAUUAAAUUUGAAUUUUUCAUUUAUAACAUCUAUUUUUUGUUCAUACACUUACUGGUAGUGUAACACUCUUAACACCUCCUAUAGCUGUAUCUUCUUUUUGAGUUUUGUCCUGUUUGGUGUAGUUGGAUGUGCUUCUACUUCAGCUGUCAGUUUUGUUCUCUGAAGUCCAAAUUUCUCCUUGCACUGCCAGUUCUUCGGUUACAUCCCUUGCCACUGACUAGACAACCCAUGUUUCAGCAUCUUACAGGCUUUCCAAGUGAAAGUACUCUCCCAUCCAUCCCCCCACCCCUUUAUUUCUUUUUUUCUUCCCUUUUCUACUUGAAAAAUCUUGUUCUGCUUCCUGCAAGAAGCUGGAACCCAAGGGUGUGGUUCCCUCAACACACUGCCCAUGGACCAACAAAGUUCAGGACAGAGAAUACCUAGAGGAGGGGAUCCAGGAUUUUAAAAUGGUAAGAGUAUGAGAGCUCCUCUGAGUUUGACUCUGUAAAAUUACUGACAGCACUUGGCUCUGCUGUGCUGCUGUAUGGAAUGCUUCUGAGUUUCACCUGCAGGUCACUGAGAACAGAGCAUACUCAGGACUUAGCAGAAAUUAUUCCCCCUUUUGAAGGAUCAAGCUCUUGAAGAACCCCCACUGUUAGAAAUAUGACCUCUUCAGGUACUUAAAAUUACUUAAUUAGCAUUAUAAACAUUAGAAAGAACAAGAUCAUUCUAGCAAAGUGAAUAGAGCUGUAAUUGCAGGUGUUACAGAAUUUAGUACAAAAGAUGGGUGUUCCCAAUAUUUGUUUUAAAGUAUUUUACAAGGCUAUAUAAAGAAGGAAGAAAGCAAGCUAUCAGGUAGUGGGGGUUUUCCCCUCCAUGUUUUUGUGAACUAAAAUUAGAGGGAACACAUAACAAGCAUCUUGCUAUUAAAUUUGCCCAUGACAAAUAGUGCAGCUGCAUGUAGUGUGCAGGAACAUCUGUAGAAUCAUGACACAUGCAGAAUUCCCCCACACUGAGAGCGUGACACUAUACUGAAAACAAUUCAGUUGUAGAAGCAAUAUAAAUAUAUUUUAUAUAAUCUUUCUCCACCUUCUCCUCCCCCUUGUCUUUUGAAUCAUGUUAACUACAGGAUUCUGUCACUUCUUCCCAGCAUCAGUAAAAAGUAUAAAAGUGACUAAGCAUUUCAGAAUUAUGCUCUUCUUUCAUUAGCAGCUAGGAUGCAGACAUUUCUUAUCUGAAGAAACAAAAAAAGAAAGAAUAACCAGUGGCAGAAAUGCACUAGAAAGACACCAUAGUUUACUCCAAAUGGAACUUGACAUGGUUUGAAGAUGCAAUUUAACUCUUGAGAAAUCAAAGGAUGAUUUUCUAUGUCAGCACCUCACGUGGUUGUUCAGUUCAAAGUGAGCUGUUGGAUUGCUGCCAGUCUUUGCUUCACCCAUGUAAGUGAUGGCACAAAGUACUGUGAUACAUGAUAUCACAAAGUGCUAUGGAAUAAUAUGUCUAAAAUCUACAGAUUUCCAAAGUAAGGGGAAUCUCCUUGCCUGGGAUUUUGUGAGUUCCCACAGUUUAUUGUCUGUAUGUAGUGAUGGUAGAACUUGCUCGAUGACCCUUUAAGCUCCAUAUGGUCAUAAAGAAGGACUUUCAAGGCUUUUUCAAAAGCCUUGAAAGCUUUUCCCAAAAAUUAUUUUAACAAAAUAUUUGCUUCCUUCUUAUAAAUAUUCUAUUGUUUGCUCUCUGAAAUAGUUGUUCUGCAAUCUUUAGAUUUUAGAAGUAAGAAAUUUUAUAAUUGCAAUGCAAACAAUGAUUUUUGUAAUGUCUGAGGUUGUCUAAAUUUAGACUAUGUGAUGAUAAUACCAUGAGAAGGCAAACACAUGCAUGUUAUGAAGACUUGGAUCAUCAUUAACUUGUUUCUUUGAAACAUCUUACUUUCAGUCAUUAGGACACAUCAGAACUGAUAACUGUGUGAAGCUCCAAGAUAAUUUCCAAAAUUUUAAUGCAGACUGCAAAGCAGGCAUGAAGCCAAGACCCAGCUGUCUUGGUCAUAAUUUUCAGCUCCUUGCCUAUUAAAUUCCUGCAACCCAACUGCAAUAACACUACCCUUAUGACAUAUUCCUAUUACGAUUUUAUUGAUAUGAUACAUUUUUAUUUUACUUGCUGAUACUCUUUGGUCAAGUUGUUUGAACUCUUGCUUCAUGCAUCACCUGAAAAAACUUUGUUUUCCUAUUUCAGAGGAACAUACUGUCCAUAAUAUAGAAGGUUUUUAAAGCACUCUGAUGACUGGAAAGGUAUGCAUGUGUAACAGAUAUUGCCUGAUGACAUUUGCUUACUUGUAAGGGUAUAUUUAUCCCUUAAUUAAAUUAGAUAUGAUUCUUCAUUUAAUAAUACAGUGACUUUCAACAUUCACGUCCUGGUUUGUGUGUCCAGUGACUGCUUGCACAAGAUACACAGGCAUGUGCAUCAGCACAGCAGAAAGGAACAGCAAACAUCCUGCAGAGCUGGAAAAUGCCUUCAUUAACUUUUCAGUAUCCACAACUUUCUCAUGGAGAGGUGCACAUCCCAUGGCCAGAUGUAUCUGCAGUCAGCUGUGGCCACCCCAAGCUGGAAAUGAGUGUGUGAGCAUCCUGCUCACUGACCCUUCCACUGCAGUGCCUGUGUUCUGGCUGGUCUCUUGGGUGAGUGCUUCAACAGCUCCUUGUAGUCCUGGGCUUUAGUUCUAAUAUAAACAGAGGCACAAUUUUCAGCAAGUUAGCAGCAUGAGGAGUUGUGGAAAAAUGUACCAGGGAAAGCUUUGUUUAUAUCAUAUGUAAAAUGGAGCUCUAGAAUACCCCUCUUGCAGAUUUUACUUGAAAUAAAUUAAAGACUUUUGUGGUAAUUUUAAAAGGUUUAUUUUGUUUUCCUCAUGAUGGAAAUGCAGUGAUUCUUGGAGGAAGAACAUAUACACAUGGAUAUAUUUACCAUGGAUAAAUGAAUUGAAAAAUAAAGACUAUUAGAUAAAUACAGUUAGUUUGGUUUAGACCCAAAGAAGCCAAAUUCAGCAUCAAAAUGAUUAAUACUAUAGCUGAUCUAAUUCUUUUACUUGUUUUUUCUUUGCUUGUAUUUUUUGCUGCUGUGUCUUGUUUACAGCUUCUCAGCCAGAAGAAUAUCCUGCAGCAAAUUACUGUCAGAAGCCAAAAAAAGUAUCCAUAAUUCAUCCUAACGCACUGUCAACUUAAUUUUAAAAUAAUUUUUCUGCUUUAUGAGUUCUGGCUGAAGUAGUAAGUUUGCAAAUCCAUAAAUCAAAUAAAGGAAAUACAUACCUCUGUUUAAAGAUUCUGUUUUCCUACUUCAUUGUAAGCGUAGUUUUUAUUAAUUAAAACUUCAGUCACUAGGAAGAGAAGAAAGAAACAAAAAUGUGGACUGUAUUCUUUACAACUGUACACAUCUGUGUUGUGACUCCAGAGCCAUCUCUUUGGACUAUAGAGAAGUUUUUCAAGAUUUAUAAAGCAGAAAUUAAUUUAGGUUGUGUAUUCCAGUGAGCACUCUGAGGAGCACGUGUGUGUGUGUGUGAAUUAGGCCGAGCCUGUUGAGGCCUGUGAAGGGCACAGUGUGCGGUGAGGUGUCCUGCAUUUGCAAGAGCCCUGUGCAGGUGUGCAGACACUCACAAAAUGUCCUCAGUUUCCAAAUGUUUCCAAACUGACCUCUCUCAUCUCCAAUAACAGUGAAGCUGAUUCAAGUUCUUUAGCUGCAAGAGGCACGUUAGAGAGCAGGUGUGGAAGCUUUCUGUGAAUCUUCUGAGAAUCACUGAAAAUUGGGUGAAACUUGUGUCCCCAAGUGCAGGAACAGCAGCCUGGCAGCAAGUGUGAGCAUGGCCUUGUUUGUGCUCGUCUGCACACGGGGAAAGUCCUGCAGAAUUCCCUGUCCCAGGAGUCAGUAGUGUCCCAGUGUGUGUUCCAGCUCAGAGCUGCCACCAGCAGCUACUGAAUAGCACCACGUUCUGAAUCUCAACACACCAUGAAAAUCCUCCUUUAAUCAAAUGCUCCCAGGGGAGCAAGAAAUUCAAGAUGCACUUGCAGCCUGGGCUGGUGCACACCACUAGAUCAAUACUUGGCAUAAAGAGCUUUCUGCUUGUCUCUGCAGUGGAGGGGGGCCAGGGACACUCUUAGCAAGCAAAACCAACAGGCAGCACAUGAGGUAACAUGAGGGCAGCAAGGAAGAGGCAAAGGUACAGGACUGAGUGGGGCACUGUGCUGGCUGGAUUAGAAAGAAUUUUGCUUCUCAGCUUGAGAUGUUUAAUUAAGGAAUUUCAUCGUAAUUUUGACUAAGCUUAACAAGUAACAAAUUCAGUGCUCUGGCUCACUAAAUUCUUUCUUGCAGUCUAAAUAAGCUGCAGAUCUGGAAGAAUUCAGUGGCUUAACAGCACUUUCUCUCCAGCUUGCACUGUAGGUAAGUGCUGUCCUGUGGCAACCUUUUAGGGUCAAGUGAUUUAGAGAGCUUAGACAAGGCUGGGGUUCAGGAUCCCUAUAUUCAGACAUGAUCCUGAGUAGCAGAGGCUGUGAGGAAAUAUUUUCUGACAUUUACUAGAGGGGCAGGGGAGGGAAGGGAGGACUCAGCUCUAGGAAAGAGAGUAGGUACAGCUAACCUAGAAGGAGGGGAAGGACUCAAGAAUAUAAUGAGGAGGUGGGGGAAAUGACACUGGAAUAAAAGGGUGAGUAUGUGAGAUACACACUCAUCCUGGCCUUCCUCUGUUCAAAGCACUCCCUCCAAGGGUGGGUAUAAGACUUGAAUAGAGGGGAUGGAUGUCAAAGUAUUUCCAUAAGGAAUAUAGUGCAAUAAAUCAGAGAAAAAGGGCAGAAUGGAGGCAAGGAGCAAAUGGUAGGAGAAUUAUUUUAGUUCUAAGUGAAUGAUUAUGUCUCCUGAGUGAUUACACAUCAGGAUGGUGGUGUGUUGGAGAAGAUUGUUCAGCUAGAUAGGAAGGAGUGCUCAAAUUGCAGUCAUUGAACUGUAGUUCAUGCAAGGGUGCAAAUAAGAUAAGAAAAAUAGACAAGUAAAAAUCCAGCUGGAGUGAACGUGUUUUGGGCACUGCAAUCCUUGUGAGUUAAUGUAACUAUCAUACAGGUGCAGGAAGAGUUUUCAGAGGAAGCUAUUUGGAAUACUUGUGGAACAUAAUCAGAGAGAGACCUGAUGAAGGAAAUAACAGACUAUUAAAAAUACUCUGAACAUAACUUGCAAGUAAUGGGUUAAGUACAAGAUGAAUAAUUUCUUCCAAGUUUCUGCUAGAACAGGAUCACCCGCAAGAAAUAUCUGCAGUAUGACACAGCUAUGGAGUCACCGCAGUACAGGGCUGGUGAAAAACAAGAGAUACAAUAUCCCAUUCAUUAUACUGCCAUGAGUGGAAAGUAGGAAAGGGCUUGAGCAGAGUUGAUAUGGGCAUUAUACCUUGGGCAAUAUCAGGCAUUCAGAAGAAAGAGAGCUGUCACAUUUUCUUCAUAGCUCUGCAUCAGUUUUACUCUCACUAGCACUGGUCACUUUUUGAUUAAAAUAGAUAAUUUAUAAAUUGAAACAGAUGUGACUCUUAUCCAGUUUUUCCCCAGUGCUGAGGUUUGAUCUUAUGCCAGUGAUGACUGUAAACAUAAGACCAAGGACUUCUCAUGUGGCCAUAUUUUUGCCAGGCACUGCUGUCACUUUUCUAUUUAGCAAUUGUUGUAGCAUCCCCCCACUCAGUGGCUGGAUCAAGACCUUUUGUUCCUGUAAUAGGGACCUGGAAUAAUAAAGGUUAAGUUUUAAAUUUCUACUUACAGAAGCUAGUAUGUCUCAGAAUUCACUCACUUGUGUUUUUGUAAAAAAAAGCAGCAUCACUGGGAAAAAUUUAUUUAUCCUUAUUUCAUCCAAAAUUCAAGAGAUAAAAAAAGAUGAAGAUUCCUGCACUGAAUCCAACAGUCCUUCUUUGGUCUCCAGUAGGUUACUGGGAACUUAGUAAUGGGGAAGUUCUGAACUCAUCUUUGCUCCAUGUGGAGCAAAGUCAGCCAUUACUAUUGCCAGUUAUUCUUUCAGAUGUUUUAAAUUACAGUUCUAUUGCUUUAUUUAUGCAUGUAUUUUAUCUCCAUGUGUUUCAUGAGAAUGUGGAGCUGCAUGUCACAGUACCUUUUUUCCAUGGGUUAAAGGAAACUGUUCUAACACUCCCAGCUUGUGCUGGCCAGGUACCUUCUGCUGAAGCAAUCCUUUGUUACCAUGGAGGGUCAGUCACACAGUGCUGGUCAGAUUAUGUGCUGCCUGUUAUGUCCACAAGUAUAUGGAAUAUAGCAAGGAAAAGAGAAUAACAAAGCUUUAGUGGUUUGCUGUCCCUGAUGCGUAUUAAGUUGGAAGAAACUGCAAAACCCCUGAGUUAUUUUCCUCAGCAGUCCAGAGUUCAGGGAGACCCAGAGCACAGGAACAGUUGCUGCCACUGCACACCAUUCCCCCCUUCCGCAGACUGGCUUUCUGGCCAAAGUUAAUGAUUCAUAAGAUUCUGCACUGAUUUCACUGUGAGCUUCCAUAUUUGCAUAAGUAAAAGCUUCUGCAGCUUCUGUAAGGAGAUUCUUAGUGAAAUUGCAGCACAAAACAUUGAUAUUAUGUAAUUAUGGUAGUUCAUUUUAACUUAAAUGAAAUUGUUACUUUAAACUUGCUCUAAGUGGCUCACAAUGUAAUUUUUGUAUGACACACCUAGAAAACAAAUGAGUUAAUCACAAUAUGUGUCAUUUUUAAUUUUUCUCUUUCAUUUUUCUUUCAGUCAUUCUCUCUUUGUAAUUAGCAUGAAGACUACCCUUCAGUCAAAAUUAGCCACCUGGAAAGUUUCAGCUUGUAAUAUGCAGCUUUUUUUGUGAAUUAUGAAUGUGCAAAAAAGAGACCUUUCUCCUUACACCCACUUCCUUGCAUAAUUCAAAAUAUGAAUGAAUGAAUUUUAUUCAGGCUUGCCAAAAAAAUUAUAUUUCAGCUGAUAACAAGCAUGAAAAAUUUUAGAUGAAAGGGAUUAGAAAAAAAAAAAAAAGAAUAUUCUGAGCAUGGGAGAACAGCAGGUUAAGACAGAAGUCUGUAACUAUAACAAUUGCUAUCAAGCAAAUACCAUAUCCAAGCACUAAAUCUUGCUUUGUGCUGCCCUAGUGCACAGUAGCAGGGACAGAGUAGAAUAAUAAAAGCUGAUCCCCUUAUGCAAACAGCAGGGCAGAGCACUUGAGAGAAUACAAGGAGAAGGUGAGCCUGCCUGCUCUUCUGGCUUGCUAACCAUAUUCCCAAGGUCUGUGGGUUAGUUGUCUAGCUCCAGUCAGAUAGCAAAAGGUACUUCAAACACUAGCAAAGGGAAUGUUUUGGUCCUUUCCAGAAGAACAUUUUACUAAUUCCUUGCCUCCAAAUGUACUGUUCUAUUAAAUAAAGUAUUUGAAGGAAUUCAUAUAAGCAACAACAUGGUUUAAUGGGUCAAAAAGGGAACAGAAUCAGUGCCAGGAAUUUUUGAGAUUGUGUAUUUUAAGAAUAUAUAUCUGUGAAGAAGGUAUUAUCUGUGCAAAGCAGAAUGAGAUUUGGGCUCAUGCCAGUACCACUUUGAAAAUAAACUAUCACAGUGAAGAAAUGUUACCAUCUGGAACAUUUCUGCAUCAUAUUUUCUCUUGUUCCCAAUAAUGCCUUGGUGAUAAGUCCAGCUCUCCUUUUCUACUCAGAAAACAGGAUGAAAACUCCCAUUCAUUUACUAUGUGUUUGUUAGAAAAAAUGCCCAUUACAGUGGCUAAACAGCAGUGAAUACUAAAGUAUUACCUUGCAGAUUCACAGAUCCACAUUGAUUAGAGGAUCAACAGACAGGAUUUGCAAAUAGCAAGCCUGGGCAUAGAAAUCCCCUUCCAGUCUGAUGUGAGUUGACUGUUGCAAGUUGAGCUUGGCAGCAAGUGACCAAAAUUGAGUUGUCAGCCUCCUCCUGCAUAGUGGAAGAAGUUGUUGCUUUCUUGUGCAGAUGCAAGGGUUUCUGUGGGAAAACAGAACAUAGUCAUGGUUCUGAAUGUCUCUGUGGAUUGGUAAUGUCUCUAAUACAUAGAUCACUUGUGCAAAUUCAGUCCCAGCUGGAUGGGAAAUUAUUGAAAAUGGUUGUUGUUUGAUUGAUAUAAAAUGAGUUGUCAGCUUGAUUCAAUGCCUUCAGGGCAGAUGUCCACAGCAUAAUUGGCACCUGUCAGAAGCAAAGAAUUCCUUGGUACAGAGUAACAGCUACUCAUGCAACCACCCAGAACAGUCCUUGCAUGCCAGGGCUCAGAGAAGAAGGCAGAAAAAAAAUACUUCUGGGCAGGAUCUUUUAUGCCAUAAAGUCAAUAAGAGUUUUGAUGUGACACUUGGUGCAAGCUUUUCCCUGGGAUACUGGCUACACACGAUCAGCUUUUCUGCUGUUUGGUCAACACUUUCCCUAAGAAUUAAACUCACAUAUUUGGUUACUUGUUAUUAUUGUCGUGGUGAAGGUGGGUUUAUAAAGACCACUUAAUAAAGAAAUGUUUACAUGUUUGCUUAUUAUAAAAAAAUGCUGUGAAUAAUUUUAUUUUUCUAUUUCUUGAGAAAUUCUCCUCACAACAAUACAACUAAAGAAAUAAGAGAGUGUCCUCUCAGCAAAAAAUAAG